Molecule: non-coding RNA, 49 nt
Organism: Octadecabacter antarcticus 307
Lineage: Bacteria; Pseudomonadati; Pseudomonadota; Alphaproteobacteria; Rhodobacterales; Roseobacteraceae
Source: Rfam
ACUCGUCCGCAACGGCUUCCUGACGCGGAUCGACAUUUAAACUGGAGCA